UGGGGCCUCUAUUGGGUCUACUCUUGCUCAUUUUUUUAGGGCCCAUACUUUAUAACAAAAUCGUGGCCUUCCUAAAAGCCCAAAUCGAGGCAAUAAAAACAGCGCCCAUACAGGUCCAUUAUAAUCGGUUAGCCAUGGCUGAUCAGGAUGAGUACCUGGUGAGAGGGCUGGUAAGCCAAUGACAGGCAACUGAGCAAGCGUGCCAUGCUAUGAAAAAGGCCCUCGUGCGCCGCCUAAGACAGGUGCCAGAGCUUUAAUUCUCUGGUUAACCGAGGACGGGUAAGGUGCACGGUGCAGACACGUUUGUUGCUCUGACCCAAGACAGGCUCAGCCCCCGCAGGCUUGGCUCUCCUGACGCCUUUCUUCUAAUUAUAAUUUUAAAGGGAGGACCUGUGGGGGGGCCUUGGCCCCCCCCGCUGGAAUUCUUGAGUGCCUAUUACGGACAUGCCCGGGCUUGUUGCAGAUCUACCCGGCAACAAGGAAGUAGCCCCAGUGCCCUCCCCUUGCUCCUCCCCUCUCGCUCUACAGUAUAUAUGUUGUAGCAGCUCCUGCAAUAAACGAGACUUGAUCAGAAACCUGUCUUGUCUCCAUCUCUCGUGUCCCCUGUCCCCUCUCAUCCUCGCUCCCCCUCUAGGGUCUCCGUUGACUUACCCGCGGGCCGGGACAACGGGCGAAACCUCUCCCCCCACGUUAUUAAGAGACUGACCCAUAGUUAUAACUCAGCAAAGAUAGAAAAUUACCCCCAGCUGGACACACUUACCAC
RNAcentral lists this long non-coding RNA (763 nucleotides) under Heterocephalus glaber (naked mole-rat). RNAcentral describes it as "lncRNA (ENSHGLG00100025829.2)". The record is from RNAcentral. Lineage: Eukaryota; Metazoa; Chordata; Mammalia; Rodentia; Bathyergidae.